RNAcentral lists this ribosomal RNA (479 nucleotides) under uncultured Fibrobacteraceae bacterium. RNAcentral describes it as "bacterial SSU rRNA". It matches the Rfam family "Bacterial small subunit ribosomal RNA", at positions 29 to 505 of the family's 1533-position model. Lineage: Bacteria; Pseudomonadati; Fibrobacterota; Fibrobacteria; Fibrobacterales; Fibrobacteraceae. The record is from RNAcentral.
AACGAACGCUGGUGGCGUGUUUUAUACAUGCAAGUCGAGCGAGGACUAGAGAGCUUGCUUUCUAGAGCCGAGCGGCGAACGGGUGAGUAACGCGUAAGCAAUCUGCCCCAUACUCGGGAAUAACCAUCCUAACGGAUGGCUAAUGCCGGAUAUUGACGGACACUUCCUGGUGUCUUAUCGAAAGAUUUAUUGGUAUGGGAUGAGCUUGCGUCUGAUUAGCUUGUUGGUAGGGUAACGGCCUACCAAGGCAUUGAUCAGUAGCCGGCCUGAGAGGGUGAUCGGCCACAUUGGGACUGAGAUACGGCCCAGACUCCUACGGGAGGCAGCAGUAGGGAAUAUUGCACAAUGGGGGAAACCCUGAUGCAGCAACGCCACGUGUGGGAAGACGCAUUUCGGUGUGUAAACCACUGUCGAGAGUGAAUAACGGCUGAUUUCGGUCAGUUUGAAUGUAACUCUAAAGGAAGCACCGGCAAACUUCG